This 207-nucleotide unclassified non-coding RNA is filed under the name Basidiomycota sp. RNAcentral's name for it is "partial contains small subunit ribosomal RNA, internal transcribed spacer 1, and 5.8S ribosomal RNA". The stretch from base 1 to 47 matches the Rfam family "Eukaryotic small subunit ribosomal RNA", at positions 1785 to 1831 of the family's 1831-position model. Lineage: Eukaryota; Fungi; Basidiomycota. The record is from RNAcentral.
AAAGUCGUAACAAGGUUUCCGUAGGUGAACCUGCGGAAGGAUCAUUUGCAAUUAUUGUUGGGGUGUGAGUUGGAUGCGAGCAAUCGUAGCUUACUCUGCUCUGAAAAGCACAGAGAGUCCAUUUCUCUGAUGUUUGCGCUUGUAUUGUUUGACAAUUGUAGAGACAAUAAAUAUAUAUAACUUUUAACAAUGGAUCUCUUGGCUCUU